Molecule: ribosomal RNA, 233 nt
Filed under: uncultured bacterium
Lineage: Bacteria
Description: partial 16S ribosomal RNA
Rfam family: Bacterial small subunit ribosomal RNA
Source: RNAcentral
GCAAGUCGAACGCGAAAGUACCUUCGGGUGCGAGUAGAGUGGCGAAAGGGCGAGUAAUGCGUUUCUACAUACCCUCAGGUCAGGGAUAGUCCGGGGAAACCCGGCUUAAUACCUGAUGUGGUCUCCGGAUCAAAGGCUUCGGCCGCCAGAGGAGUGGGGAACGUCCUAUCAGGUUGUUGGUGAGGUAAAAGCUCACCAAGCCACUGACGGGUAGCGGGUGUGAGAGCAUGACC